GCCCGGAUGGUCUAGCGGUAUGAUUCUCGCUUAGGGUUCAACCCUGAGUCUAAAAUGCGAGAGGUCCCCGGUUCAAUCCCGGGUUCGGGCC
Molecule: non-coding RNA, 91 nt
Organism: Schizothecium vesticola
Lineage: Eukaryota; Fungi; Ascomycota; Sordariomycetes; Sordariales; Schizotheciaceae
Source: the annotation of a GenBank genome assembly